Solanum lycopersicum (tomato) is the source of this 199-nucleotide non-coding RNA. Lineage: Eukaryota; Viridiplantae; Streptophyta; Magnoliopsida; Solanales; Solanaceae. The record is from RefSeq and is marked provisional.
AGGGCUUACUUUGAUGUUGGAAGCCUUGCUGAAGUGUUUGGGGGAACUCCCGGGUUGACUUUGAAAAUUACGCAAACAAGUAUAUAUAAAUGCAUGAGUACGUAUUAGCUAAAGAUGAUGAGUACAAUAUUGAUUCAUGUACCUUUGGAGUUCCCUUGACCACUUCAUGAGAGCUUAAUAUUUGAUUGUUUGAAGUCCU